Long non-coding RNA from Apodemus sylvaticus (European woodmouse), 1152 nucleotides. RefSeq lists it as uncharacterized. The record is from RefSeq and is a predicted model, not a curated record. Lineage: Eukaryota; Metazoa; Chordata; Mammalia; Rodentia; Muridae. The transcript is spliced from 5 exons.
GCCCCACAGCCGAGAACACUGACUGUCUGUUCUAGCCCUUGGUCUGCACGCGGCUCGCUAGAGCCAGGGGAGGAGGAGCAGCUUGUUGGAAUAUGUGGCAUUUGGUAUGAAUUUGAGCACAGAGUAUAGGAAUGUCCCGACUGCAUGACGUACAUGCGCCAUGAGCGUUCACGUUGGAUCCCCUGGAGAUGGCGUUACAGAUGGUUUCCCCAGCCUCAUGCUUCUGAUGCAACAGCAGAGAGCUCUUCUGGCCACCAUGUGGUCCCUAAACUGUGAAUGCAAGCCAUAUGGAGCAUGGGUAAUUUAGCAGUAGAAAGACUUGGCAUUGAACCUGGGCCUCUUGCUACUUCCCAGCUGCAGGACUUAAGGCUCCAGUGAGUGAGUCUUUCCUCAUAAUGGUGAGGUGUGUUGAGAUAUUUCUUCAGGAUCCUACGAUCAGGAAGAUUUGAACAAUCCUUGGAUAUUCCGAUAUUCACAGGGUGUGCCAUCGGAUUUCACAGACAUCUCUAUCUGUAUGCCCCAGCUAUGAAGAUCAAGUGAGCCAUUGCUAUCUCACCCUCAGAGGAAAGAGGAACAGCUACACAGACCUGACCCUCCAGCCUGCCCAACAUCCAAUUAAACAACAACCAAAUGGGUGAACAUAUGUUACAUGCAGCUUGUUAGAAAUUUCUGAACUUAAAAAGUCGCAGUGCAGUAAUAUAUUAGUAACACACCCGUUUUCUCUUAAUUUUUGCAACAUCUCUCUCUCUCUCUCUCUCUCUCUCUCUCUCUCUCUCUCACUCUCAUCCUGUUUUUUUCAGUUUUAUAACUCUCAGGACAUUUAAGUGUGGGUACACACUGAUUUAAAUUGAACGACUUUUAUUGCUUUCUGUCACUAUAUUUCAAAACUUUUUCGAAUAUUAAAAAGAAAUCCAUUUGCAUAAAAUCCACACCACUAGUAUUUAUGUAACUGUUUCAAAAUAAAAUUUUCUCCAAAUAUCAUGCCUUGGCAUAACAGAUUUUUUGGGGGGUAGAUAGAAACAACAGAAAGGACCAAGCUCUCUCUAAGUUGUAUAUACACAUCGAUAGAAAACAUAAAAUGUUUUUUAUCAUAUUUAUGUGCUUUUUAAUAUUUUAGCACACCCUGUGGUUUACAUAUAUUCUCUUCUCAAA